AGAACAACCCGGUUCCAAUAUGUUUAGUGUACUUGAAUGUACAUUCAGUAUGUACGAGUAAGCAAGUAAAAAUAUAUAGCCAAAUUUGAUUUUUGAUUAUAUCAAUGCAUCCUCGAAUAACCGGUAUUAGUUAGAUAUUUGACGGUAUAUAAAUUUAUCAUUAUCGUAUGCCCGCAAUAUACCUAUUUAAACUUCAAACGCCCGGUAACGAGUGUAUGGUAAUUUUAAUACAAGCACGCGUGUAACACAAACAAAUAUAUAAUAAUAUUAAUAGAAGUGACGUAAUUUUGUGUAUUGUACACGCACAUAAAACAAACAACUUCUAAAUUGUUCUCAAAUAUCAGUUAAACUUUGAUUAUUGAAGUGCUUUACUC
This is a non-coding RNA of Cinara cedri, 374 nucleotides long. The record is from the annotation of a GenBank genome assembly. NCBI's taxonomy places the organism in Eukaryota, Metazoa, Arthropoda, Insecta, Hemiptera, Aphididae.